Molecule: ribosomal RNA, 162 nt
Filed under: Muiriantha spicata
Lineage: Eukaryota; Viridiplantae; Streptophyta; Magnoliopsida; Sapindales; Rutaceae
Description: Philotheca spicata 5.8S ribosomal RNA
Rfam family: 5.8S ribosomal RNA
About the family: 5.8S ribosomal RNA (5.8S rRNA) is a component of the large subunit of the eukaryotic ribosome.
Source: RNAcentral
UAACGACUCUCGGCAACGGAUAUCUCGGCUCUCGCAUCGAUGAAGAACGUAGCGAAAUGCGAUACUUGGUGUGAAUUGCAGAAUCCCGUGAACCAUCGAGUCUUUGAACGCAAGUUGCGCCCUAAGCCGUCAGGCUGAGGGCACGUCUGCCUGGGUGUCACG